CCUACGGGAGGCUGCAGUAGGGAAUCUUCCACAAUGGGCGCAAGCCUGAUGGAGCAACACCGCGUGAGUGAAGAAGGGUUUCGGCUCGUAAAGCUCUGUUGUUGGAGAAGAACGUGCGUGAGAGUAACUGUUCACGCAGUGACGGUAUCCAACCAGAAAGUCACGGCUAACUACGUGCCAGCAGCCGCGGUAAUACGUAGGUGGCAAGCGUUAUCCGGAUUUAUUGGGCGUAAAGCGAGCGCAGGCGGUUGCUUAGGUCUGAUGUGAAAGCCUUCGGCUUAACCGAAGAAGGGCAUCGGAAACCGGGCGACUUGAGUGCAGAAGAGGACAGUGGAACUCCAUGUGUAGCGGUGGAAUGCGUAGAUAUAUGGAAGAACACCAGUGGCGAAGGCGGCUGUCUGGUCUGCAACUGACGCUGAGGCUCGAAAGCAUGGGUAGCGAACAGGAUUAGAUACCCGUGUAGUC
Molecule: ribosomal RNA, 465 nt
Filed under: uncultured Lactobacillus sp.
Lineage: Bacteria; Bacillati; Bacillota; Bacilli; Lactobacillales; Lactobacillaceae
Description: bacterial SSU rRNA
Rfam family: Bacterial small subunit ribosomal RNA
Source: RNAcentral